Molecule: ribosomal RNA, 894 nt
Filed under: uncultured bacterium
Lineage: Bacteria
Description: bacterial SSU rRNA
Rfam family: Bacterial small subunit ribosomal RNA
Source: RNAcentral
AGAGUUUGAUCCUGGCUCAGAACGAACGUUGGCGGUGUGCCUAAUACAUGCAAGUCGAGCGAGAAAACCGGGGCAACUCGGUGAGUACAGCGGCGGAAGGGUGCGUAAUACAUGGUUAACGUACCCCCCAGUUCGGGAUAACCCUCCGAAAGGUGGGCUAAUACCGGGUAAUGGCAACGGGUGGCAUCAUCUGUUGCUUAAAGCCGUAAGGCGCUGGGGGAGCGGACCAUGGCCUAUCAGCUAGUUGGCGGGGUAACGGCCCACCAAGGCAAUGACGGGUAGCCGGACUGAGAGGUUGAACGGCCACACGGGAACUGAGACACGGUCCCGACAUCUACGGAUGGCAGCAGUAGGGAAUCUUGCGCAAUGGGCGAAAGCCUGACGCAGCGACACCGCGUGGGGGAUGAAGGCCUUCGGGUUGUAAACCCCUUUCAUGAGGGAAGAACACUGACCUAACCUCAGGAAGAAGCACCGGCUAACUCCGUGCCAGCAGCUGCGGUAAUACGGAGAGUGCAAACGUUGUUCGGAUUCACUGGGCGUAAAGGGCACGUAGGCGGCUCGGCAAAUCGGUCGUGGAAUCCAGACGCUUACCGUCUGAACGGCGGCCGAAAAUACCGGGCUCGAGGGCGUGAGGGGUCACUGGAACUCCUGGUGAAGCGGUGAAAUGCGUAGAUAUCAGGAGGAACGCCGGAGGCGAAAGCGAGUGACUGGCGCGUUCCUGACGCUGAGGUGCGAAAGCUAGGGGAGCAAACAGGAUUAGAUACCCUGGUAGUCCUAGCCGUAAACGAUGGACACUGAGUGGAGGAGGGCUUGCCUUUCUCUGCUGCAGCUAACGCGUUAAGUGUCCCGCCUGGGGAGUACGGCCGCAAGGUUAAAACUCAAAGGAAUUGACGG